Molecule: microRNA precursor, 135 nt
Filed under: Oryza brachyantha (malo sina)
Lineage: Eukaryota; Viridiplantae; Streptophyta; Magnoliopsida; Poales; Poaceae
Description: MIR812 microRNA precursor family
Rfam family: MIR812 microRNA precursor family
Source: Rfam by way of RNAcentral
UGACUCUUCGUCUUAUUUGAAAUUUUUUUACGAUUAAUAUUUUUAUUGUUAUUAGAUAAUAAAAUAUGAAUAGGACUUUAUGCGUGACUAUUUUUAAAAGUUUUCAUAUAAUUUUUUAAAUAAAACGAAUAGUCA